This is a long non-coding RNA of Lingula anatina, 219 nucleotides long. The record is from RefSeq and is a predicted model, not a curated record. NCBI's taxonomy places the organism in Eukaryota, Metazoa, Brachiopoda, Lingulata, Lingulida, Lingulidae.
UAGGACACAACUGGGUGAAGACGCAACAGCAUGUGUGGUGCAGACGCAAGGGCGAGCUUUUAUGAGGUGUAAAAGCAAGUGCAUGCUUCGAGUCUACUGAGAUACUGAGAACUGUACGACAGCCGCCUGCUAGCAACCAAGUCUUUCGUCCACGUUCUGGGACCCUACGAGCAUUCAUGCAUCUGUUGUAUUAAAGUUGAAUAAAUACAUUUGUAAUUC